RNAcentral lists this long non-coding RNA (1439 nucleotides) under Aedes aegypti (yellow fever mosquito). RNAcentral's name for it is "lncRNA AAEL024920". The record is from RNAcentral. Lineage: Eukaryota; Metazoa; Arthropoda; Insecta; Diptera; Culicidae.
CUUCGCCAAUCGAUGAUAUCCGUAAUGGAUUGUCUUCUUAUUCUCGCAGUCGGGGCAUCUCUGCCGGUUGAGGGCACCGGCCUUCCUCCGGUGGAGCUCUGCCUUGUUCUGACACCAACAACAAGCACUGAUUACCUGCGUUGCGUUUGCGUGACGCAUCCACAGAUCCGACAGAGUUUGGAUUCCGCACAAGGGUUCUUCAACCCUUAAAUAGCCGCGUAUUCAAACUAGCCGAUCAUACGCUCCUUGCCUUCGUCACAUCCGUUCCAUCCAAGCAGUGUGGAAGAGGAAGUGAGAUUUGGCAGAUUACUGGUUCCGGUUCAAUCUUCUGAACCAACCGCGAAACCUUCGCCAAUCGAUGAUAUCCGUAAUGGAUUGUCUUCUUAUUCUCGCAGUCGGGGCAUCUCUGCCGGUUGAGGGCACCGGCCUUCCUCCGGUGGAGCUCUGCCUUGUUCUGACACCAACAACAAGCACUGAUUACCUGCGUUGCGUUUGCGUGACGCAUCCACAGAUCCGACAGGGUUUGGAUUCCGCACAAGGGUUCUUCAACCCUUAAAUAGCCGCGUAUUCAAACUAGCCGAUCAUACGCUCCUUGCCUUCGUCACAUCCGUUCCAUCCAAGCAGUGUGGAAGAGGAAGUGAGAUUUGGCAGAUUACUGGUUCCGGUUCAAUCUUCUGAACCAACCGCGAAACCUUCGCCAAUCGAUGAUAUCCGUAAUGGAUUGUCUUCUUAUUCUCGCAGUCGGGGCAUCUCUGCCGGUUGAGGGCACCGGCCUUCCUCCGGUGGAGCUCUGCCUUGUUCUGACACCAACAACAAGCACUGAUUACCUGCGUUGCGUUUGCGUGACGCAUCCACAGAUCCGACAGAGUUUGGAUUCCGCACAAGGGUUCUUCAACCCUUAAAUAGCCGCGUAUUCAAACUAGCCGAUCAUACGCUCCUUGCCUUCGUCACAUCCGUUCCAUCCAAGCAGUGUAGAAGAGGAAGUGAGAUUUGGCAGAUUACUGGUUCCGGUUCAAUCUUCUGAACCAACCGCGAAACCUUCGCCAAUCGAUGAUAUCCGUAAUGGAUUGUCUUCUUAUUCUCGCAGUCGGGGCAUCUCUGCCGGUUGAGGGCACCGGCCUUCCUCCGGUGGAGCUCUGCCUUGUUCUGACACCAACAACAAGCACUGAUUACCUGCGUUGCGUUUGCGUGACGCAUCCACAGAUCCGAUAGAGUUUGGAUUCCGCACAAGGGUUCUUCAACCCUUAAAUAGCCGCGUAUUCAAACUAGCCGAUCAUACGCUCCUUGCCUUCGUCACAUCCGUUCCAUCCAAGCAGUGUGGAAGAGGAAGUGAGAUUUGGCAGAUUACUGGUUCCGGUUCAAUCUUCUGAACCAACCGCGAAACCUUCGCCAAUCGAUGAUAUCCGUAAUGGAUUGUCUUCUUAUUCUCGCAGUCGGGC